Molecule: ribosomal RNA, 468 nt
Filed under: uncultured bacterium
Lineage: Bacteria
Description: partial 16S ribosomal RNA
Rfam family: Bacterial small subunit ribosomal RNA
Source: RNAcentral
GACGAACGCUGGCGGCGUGCUUAACACAUGCAAGUCGAACGGAAAGGCCCUGCUUUUGUGGGGUGCUCGAGUGGCGAACGGGUGAGUAACACGUGAGUAACCUGCCCUUGACUUUGGGAUAACUUCAGGAAACUGGGGUUAAUACCGGAUAGGAGCUCCUGCUGCAUGGUGGGGGUUGGAAAGUUUCGGCGGUUGGGGAUGGACUCGCGGCUUAUCAGCUUGUUGGUGGGGUAGCGGCUUACCAAGGCUUUGACGGGUAGCCGGCCUGAGAGGGUGACCGGCCACAUUGGGACUGAGAUACGGCCCAGACUCCUACGGGAGGCAGCAGUGGGGAAUAUUGCACAAUGGGCGGAAGCCUGAUGCAGCAACGCCGCGUGCGGGAUGACGGCCUUCGGGUUGUAAACCGCUUUCGCCUGUGACGAAGCGUGAGUGACGGUAAUGGGUAAAGAAGCACCGGCUAACUACGUG